UUAGAAAUCCUGUAACCAACAAUCUCAGUCAUGAAGAUCGCAGCAGCUUUCCUGCUUGUGGGCGCCUGCCUUGUUUCCACAAAUGCAUAUGGUAUCAAAAAUAGACAAUUGUCGGAACGUGAUGCACAUUCUCAUGGUCGUAUGAUGGCGUUUGUACUGAAAAGAUGGGG
Long non-coding RNA from Pseudophryne corroboree (corroboree frog), 170 nucleotides. RefSeq lists it as uncharacterized. The record is from RefSeq and is a predicted model, not a curated record. NCBI's taxonomy places the organism in Eukaryota, Metazoa, Chordata, Amphibia, Anura, Myobatrachidae. The transcript has 3 exons.